Molecule: long non-coding RNA, 1555 nt
Organism: Eriocheir sinensis (Chinese mitten crab)
Lineage: Eukaryota; Metazoa; Arthropoda; Malacostraca; Decapoda; Varunidae
Exons: 2
Source: RefSeq, a predicted model, not a curated record
UCUUUAUUAUAAUCGUAUCGUGACAAAUAGUUCCAUAAUAGACUACUUUAGUACUUUCUUAUAUUUUAAACUAUUUCGAUUUGUAAUGUGAAAGAAACGUAACUAUAGAUUCUUUUUAGAUUAUUUUAUCUUUUCAUAGUCGGAGAGAAAGGUCCAAAGGGGCAGAGGGGUGGAUUAUAGAGUAUUUCCAAAUUAUCGUACUCAAAACAUUUUAUUUAUCAGCUUCAAACCCAAAGCUGUCGUAUACCCGCACAAGUAACGACACUCAGUUUAUUAAGAUAUUGAUAAAAGUGUUAAUGAGCGAUGUUUGUUUCAGAGAUUUAUGGGUCAGAAAUAAGAAACUGGAAAAAAAAUAUAUAUAAUGUGGUGAGUGCGACAGUCUGGCAACGCUGGGUGGAAGCAUGAAAGAAAACGAGGAUUAUUGUACUGGGAACUUAUGUAAUCGCGAGGGACUUCCCAGCAUGUUAUUUUUCUUUCCUUUUAUUUUUUUAAGGUAAUACGGAUAUGGAGGGGGCGGAGGGGGGAGAGGAUAUGCUUUGUGUGAUUGUAUUUACUUAAUUCACGCCAUUAUUCUUUAGUGAGUGAAGGAAAAUGAGAAUUAGUUAUUACACUUUUGAGAGGGACUUCCAAAUAUGUCGAGGCUGGUCUGGCGUAGGCUCCCGAGUGAAGGGGAGGGGUUAUAAGGGGUCAGGAUAGUUUAAGGGGUGAACCAUUAGUGUAUUCCUGUAGCCACUUUAUCUAUUCCAUUACUUGUUACGAAAGGAAAAACUAUUAUCAAUGUAUUGCUAUCCACUAUGUCAUAUUUACUUAAUUCCUCUUGUAACAGUGAGGUGAAGGGGUGAAUCUUUGGAUGAGGAGGAGGAGGUAAGGGGUAGGGGCAUAUGUGUGUUCCUAUAGUUACUUAAGUUAUUCCAUUAUUUGUUACGAAAGGAAAAACUAUUAUCAAUGUAUUGCUAUCCCUUAAGUCAUAUUUACUUCCUCUUAUAACAGUGAGAAGGGGUGAAGCUUAGGAUGAGGAGUUACUUAAAGUUAUUCCAUUAUUUGUUAAGAAAUGAGUAAUGUUAUCUCUGUACGGCCACCUAUUAUUUAGUUAUUUUUUUCCUCGUGCGGUGGUAGGGUGGAACGGAUAAGGAGUGGAUAUGUGCUUGUUCCAAUAUUUACUUCAGUUACUCCAUUAUUUAAGGGAGGGAAAACUAUCAUUGUACUGGUACUCAUUAUGCCAUCUUCUAAUACUUUCUCUUAUAAUAGUAAGGUGGAGGAGUGGAGAGGUGGACCUGUGUGUGUUGUACUUUAAUAUACUUUCUCUAAUAAGGGUGAGGUGAAGGAGUGGAGGGGAGUGGAGGUGUGGACUUGUGUGUGUUGGACUGCUACCCAUUAUUUCACCUUCACAUACUUUCUCUUAUAAUAGUACAGAGUGGAGGGGUAUGGAGGGGUGGACCAGUGUGUGUUGGACAAGGUGGGGGGAUGCACUGGACACGCCUGGAACAAACAAAUGCACACACGCAGCCUGAUGUCUUUCUUCCCCUCGAGAUAAUAAAAAAAUACAAGGUUCUGA